Molecule: non-coding RNA, 45 nt
Filed under: Atlantibacter hermannii
Lineage: Bacteria; Pseudomonadati; Pseudomonadota; Gammaproteobacteria; Enterobacterales; Enterobacteriaceae
Also listed under: 1 other name
Description: Escherichia hermannii Guanidine-II sequence
Rfam family: Guanidine-II riboswitch aptamer (mini-ykkC)
About the family: Simpler in structure and has fewer highly conserved nucleotide positions than the ykkC-yxkD leader. Despite this each of its two stem-loop structures directly bind free guanidine. Therefore, mini-ykkC RNA motif represents a distinct class of guanidine-sensing RNAs.
Source: RNAcentral
CUGGCGGGACGACCCGUCAGCAUUUCUUCAUCCGGGGACGGCCCC